RNAcentral lists this microRNA precursor (103 nucleotides) under Marmota monax (woodchuck). Lineage: Eukaryota; Metazoa; Chordata; Mammalia; Rodentia; Sciuridae. The record is from RNAcentral.
AGUGGAAUAACUGGGUUAAAUGGUGGUUCCAUUCCAAGUUUUCUGAGGAAUCUCCAUACUGCUUUCCAUUAAGGUUGUACCAAUUUGUAAUCCCACCAGCAAU